UACGGAGGGGGGCUAGCGUUGUUCGGAAUUACUGGGCGUAAAGCGCACGUAGGCGGCUUUGUAAGUUAGAGGUGAAAGCCCGGGGGCUCAACUCCGGAAUUGCCUUUAAGACUGCAUCGCUAGAAUUGUGGAGAGGUAAGUGGAAUUCCGAGUGUAGAGGUGAAAUUCGUAGAUAUUCGGAAGAACACCAGUGGCGAAGGCGACACACUGGCCCAUUACUGACGCUGAGGCUCGAAAGCGUGGGGAGCAAACAGG
This 255-nucleotide ribosomal RNA is filed under the name uncultured bacterium. RNAcentral describes it as "partial 16S ribosomal RNA". It matches the Rfam family "Bacterial small subunit ribosomal RNA", at positions 524 to 776 of the family's 1533-position model. The record is from RNAcentral.